GAUGAACGCUGGCGGCGGGCCUAAUACAUGCAAGUCGAGCGAACAGACGAGGAGCUUGCUCCUCUGACGUUAGCGGCGGACGGGUGAGUAACACGUGGAUAACCUACCUAUAAGACUGGGAUAACUUCGGGAAACCGGAUCUAAUACCGGAUAAUAUAUUGAACCGCAGGGUUCAAUAGUGAAAGACGGUUUUGCUGUCCCUUAUAGAUGGUUCCGCGCCGCAUUAGCUAGUUGGUAAGGUAACGGCUUACCAAGGCGACGAUGCGUAGCCGACCUGAGAGGGUGAUCGGCCACACUGGAACUGAGACACGGUCCAGACUCCUACGGGAGGCAGCAGUAGGGAAUAUUCCGCAAUGGGCGAAAGCCUGACGGAGCAACGCCGCGUGAGUGAUGAAGGUCUUCGGAUCGUAAAGCUCUGUUAUUAGGGAAGAACAAAUGUGUAAGUAACUAUGCACGUCUUGACGGUACCUAAACAGAAAGCCACGGCUAACUACGUG
RNAcentral lists this ribosomal RNA (497 nucleotides) under uncultured bacterium. RNAcentral's name for it is "partial 16S ribosomal RNA". It matches the Rfam family "Bacterial small subunit ribosomal RNA", at positions 28 to 507 of the family's 1533-position model. The record is from RNAcentral.